Molecule: ribosomal RNA, 459 nt
Filed under: uncultured bacterium
Lineage: Bacteria
Description: bacterial SSU rRNA
Rfam family: Bacterial small subunit ribosomal RNA
Source: RNAcentral
UACGGAAGGCAGCAGUGGGGAAUAUUGCACAAUGGGCGAAAGCCUGAUGCAGCUAUGCCGCGUGUAUGAAGAAGGCCUUAGGGUUGUAAAGUACUUUCAUCGGGGAGGAAAAAACAAAACUAAUAAUUUUAUUUCUUGACGUUACCCGAAAAAGAAGCACCGGCUAACUCCGUGCCAGCAGCCGCGGUAAUACGGAGGGUGCUAGCGUUAAUCAGAAUUACUGGGCGUAAAGAGCACGUAGGUGGUUUUUUUAAGUUCAGAUGUGAAAUCCCUGGGCUUAACCUAGGAACUGCAUUUUGAAACUGAAAUACUAGAGUAUCGUAGAGGGAGGUAGAAUUCUAGGUGUAGCGGUGAAAUGCGUAGAUAUCUGGAGGAAUACCUGUGGCGAAAGCGGCCUCCUAAACGAAUACUGACACUGAGGGUGCGAAAGCGUGGGGAGCAAAACAGGGAUUAGAUACC